AAUCAUAAACAAAAAAAGACCCCAACCCCAAGUAUGUUCGGCAAUGUCAUUUUCCCCUUAAGGUCUUAAGUCCAAUCACCCCAAAGUCCAACAACCCAAAAGUCUCUGUCUAUGAUGAGUGCAGUCAUGAAG
Gopherus evgoodei (Goodes thornscrub tortoise) is the source of this 132-nucleotide long non-coding RNA. RefSeq lists it as uncharacterized. The record is from RefSeq and is a predicted model, not a curated record. The transcript has 4 exons. Lineage: Eukaryota; Metazoa; Chordata; Testudines; Testudinidae.